Telopea speciosissima is the source of this 253-nucleotide long non-coding RNA. RefSeq lists it as uncharacterized. Lineage: Eukaryota; Viridiplantae; Streptophyta; Magnoliopsida; Proteales; Proteaceae. The transcript has 3 exons. The record is from RefSeq and is a predicted model, not a curated record.
UACAACCCCUUUGGAUAAUCAAUUUAAUCAGAUUCUAACCGAUGCUUCCAUGGCCGAAAGGGCUGCAGAAUGGGGGUUGGUAGUCAAUUCAGAGUUAGCAAUAGGCAAUCCCAAAGCAGUAGGACUAAGGUCGUCGGAGAUAAAGGCAAAAAUUCAGCAGAGUAAUCCAUGGAAUUUAUAAGGUUAUCUGAAGAAUUUGGAUCUGAUUCGGAGUUCCCGAGAGUCUCACAAGAGCUGAAGGAUGCAUUGGCUA